UACGUAGGGGGCGAGCGUUGUCCGGAAUCAUUGGGCGUAAAGAGCGUGUAGGCGGCCAAGCAGGUCCGUUGUGAAAACUGGAGGCUUAACCUCCAGACGUCGACGGAAACCGCGUGGCUAGAGUCCGGAAGAGGAGAGUGGAAUUCCUGGUGUAGCGGUGAAAUGCGCAGAUAUCAGGAAGAACACCAAUGGCGAAGGCAGCUCUCUGGGACGGUACUGACGCUGAGACGCGAAAGCGUGGGGAGCGAACAGG
RNAcentral lists this ribosomal RNA (253 nucleotides) under uncultured bacterium. RNAcentral describes it as "partial 16S ribosomal RNA". It matches the Rfam family "Bacterial small subunit ribosomal RNA", at positions 524 to 776 of the family's 1533-position model. The record is from RNAcentral.